Molecule: long non-coding RNA, 755 nt
Filed under: Homo sapiens (human)
Lineage: Eukaryota; Metazoa; Chordata; Mammalia; Primates; Hominidae
Description: non-protein coding lnc-PRKAA2-7:2
Source: RNAcentral
GAUGGUAAAUAUUGUCAACUUGAUUGAAGGAUGCAAAGUAUUGUUCCCAUAUGUGUCUGUGAAGGUGUUGCCAAAGGAGAUUACCAUCUGAGUCAGUGGACUGGGAGAGACAGACCCACCCUCAGUCUGGGUGGGUACCAUCUAAUCAGCUACCCACACGGCUAGAAUAAAGCAGGCAGAAGAAAGUGAUCAACAGACUUGCUGAGUCUUCUGGCCUUCAUCUUUCUCCCGUGCUGGAUGCUUCCUGCCCCUGAACGUCAGACUCCAAGUUCUUCAGAUUAUGGACACUUGGACUUACACCAGUGGUUCACCAGGGGCUCUCGAGCCUUUGGCCACAGACUGAGCACCAUCCUAUUACAAAUCUGCCAGCCUACAGACUAGUAAAACGCGCUGACCCAAGAGAAAGCAAAAAGCGGCCCCUUUCCCCGGCUCCAGCGCUGCUCGGCCAGGCUUCACUUUUAAAGGCGAGCAUCAUUGGUUCAUGCGCCACAGGAAAUGGAGCCAUCACAGGACGGGCCAAAGACACCUGUCUUCUCAUCCCUCUUCUCACUUUUCACUUCAAAGGCACGCACCUCAUCAGGGAAGAAAAAGGAAAGCUGAGAGGAACUGAGACAGCAGUUUUAGGUGAUGGGUUAAUUAUGCACAGUUGUGCCUUCCUCUCUCCUUUCUCAAUCUUCGCCCCAAGUCCUGCCUCCAGGUUUAUGCUGCAGAGUGUCCGUGGAAGGGUGGCUCUUACAUGGUAGCUCUGAAAAGCU